UAGGAUGCCCCAGCAUAGGAUGCCCUGUCAGUACCCCAGAGAUCAUGAUCCUAGGAAGAAGAAACUCAUUGUCUGCCAUUGCCUCCACCUCCCUUGACUUACUCGCUCCAGGCCACCAGAAUCUAGACUUGACCUUUAAUUGCAGAAGGACAUCUCCCUGCUGCAGGCAGUCGAUCAGAGAUCUUGGCUCUAAUCUCCACGUGUGUAUUGUCUCCACUCUGUCACUGCAUCAUU
RNAcentral lists this long non-coding RNA (234 nucleotides) under Homo sapiens (human). RNAcentral's name for it is "HSALNT0233826". Lineage: Eukaryota; Metazoa; Chordata; Mammalia; Primates; Hominidae. The record is from RNAcentral.